RNAcentral lists this ribosomal RNA (837 nucleotides) under Mesoplatypus nigeriensis. RNAcentral describes it as "eukaryotic LSU rRNA". The stretch from base 232 to 837 matches the Rfam family "Eukaryotic large subunit ribosomal RNA", at positions 1 to 911 of the family's 3401-position model. The record is from RNAcentral. Lineage: Eukaryota; Metazoa; Arthropoda; Insecta; Coleoptera; Curculionidae.
CUGAGGACCCGAAAGGUCGAAGGGAGAAAUUCAUUCGUGUAUCGUUAUUGACUAGACUUUUGUAUGUUUGACAACACGUAAGUUUGAUCAUCUUUUUGGUGGUUUUAAAUUUAUAUGUUGCUACUUAUAUGUCUAAUGCCUGAUAAUGAACGCGUGCAUUUUUCUUCUGGUAGGACGUUGCGAUCCGUUAGAAAUAUUAUCGAUCUAUGAUUUAUGGUUUUAGUUCAUUGAUACAUUUUAUUAUGAUAAUAUUAAUGAUACUGUAAAAUCUGAUUGAUUUGUCUGACGGUAGAUGAAAGGUUAAGAGUCACUAUUAUAAUUAGUGUUAGAGAUUAGACAAAUGUUUAAAUUGUGUAAAGACAUUGUUAACUAUUUAUAGUAACAGUGUUCUCGGCAAUCAAUAUUUAUAUUAAUUCCGAGCCAUUUAUAUAUUGUUAGUUUAAUAUAUCUCUGACAGACUUUAUUAUUUUAUAUAAAACCAAUCAGCAACGCUAUAGCUUUGGGUAACUUCAGGACCCGUCUUGAAACACGGACCAAGGAGUYUAGCAUGUACGCAAGCCAUUGGGAUUAAAACCUAUAGGCAAAAUGAAAGUGAAAGUCAAUUUGUCUUGUACAAAUUGAACGGGAAGAUAAAUAGUAUUUUUUUGAAAUAUUAUUUCGCAUUCCUGGGGCGUUUAUAUUUUGUUUGUAUGUUUUACAUGCAAAUGAGAUUAUGCGCACCAAGAGUGUACACGCUGGGACCCGAAAGAUGGUGAACUAUGCCUGGUCAGGACGAAGUCAGGGGAAACCCUGAUGGAGGUCCGUAGCGAUUCUGACGUGCAAAUCGAUCGUCGGAAC